RNAcentral lists this ribosomal RNA (253 nucleotides) under uncultured bacterium. RNAcentral describes it as "partial 16S ribosomal RNA". It matches the Rfam family "Bacterial small subunit ribosomal RNA", at positions 524 to 776 of the family's 1533-position model. The record is from RNAcentral.
UACGAACUGUGCGAACGUUAUUCGGAAUCACUGGGCUUAAAGGGUGCGUAGGCGGUUAACUAAGUCAGGUGUGAAAUCUUACGGCUCAACCGUAAAACUGCGCCUGAUACUGGAUAACUUGAGUGAGGUAGGGGUGUGUGGAACUUCCGGUGGAGCGGUGAAAUGUGUAGAGAUCGGAAGGAACGCCAGCAGCGAAAGCGGCACACUGGGCCUUGUCUGACGCUGAGGCACGAAAGCUAGGGUAGUGAACGGG